UGAGAAAAGCAGAAGCACCCGCUUCUCGCCUUGGGAACCAUGUUGCCGGGCUAAAGAUGAGUUGAACCACAUCAGUUCUUGGUGUGGACAGCGGGUGGCUUAGGCCGCCCGCUAUUUUUCUGUUUA
The sequence is a regulatory RNA element, 126 nucleotides long. It matches the Rfam family "Ribosomal protein L20 leader". From Rfam's summary of the family: This family is a putative r-protein leader autoregulatory structure found in B. subtilis and other low-GC Gram-positive bacteria. It is located in the 5' untranslated regions of mRNAs encoding initiation factor 3 followed by ribosomal proteins L35 and L20 (infC-rpmI-rplT). A Rho-independent transcription terminator structure that is probably involved in regulation is included at the 3' end. The record is from Rfam.